Molecule: transfer RNA, 74 nt
Filed under: Burkholderia pseudomallei
Lineage: Bacteria; Pseudomonadati; Pseudomonadota; Betaproteobacteria; Burkholderiales; Burkholderiaceae
Description: tRNA-Val
Rfam family: tRNA
About the family: Transfer RNA (tRNA) molecules are approximately 80 nucleotides in length.
Source: RNAcentral
CUCGUAGCUCAGUUGGUUAGAGCACCACCUUGACAUGGUGGGGGUCGUUGGUUCGAAUCCAAUCGAGCCUACCA